AAGACGUUUCAGACAAUGGAAAAGAGACGUUCCCGCGAAUUUGUCCCUUUUUGGUGGGAUUUUACGAGUCCAGACGUCUUUUAAUAACAGUUCUAAACUAACAUCUUUGCGGGAGCACUCGACAUUAUUCGGUUCAGGUUAUCGGAUAAAAAAAUUACCAAAAGCAAACAAACUUCUGGAUAAUCCCAUCCCAUGCCAUUUCGGACUUCUAAUCAUUCCCGCCUCUGACAGUCGUGAUUAUAGUGAAAAUGAUGAUUAGGAUAAAAAAAGCGACGUGUUUGUGAACGGUUCCAGCCUUUCGAAUUGACACAGUGUGUGACACAUAGAUUCACGAAAUUGUGGUCAAAGGGAUGUUGUCGCUUGACACAUGUACAGUUUCGUUGUCUUUAACGAGUUGUGAGCAGAGGUGAUCGCUUCUGCUGUCAUUGUCACAUGGCAGUGGAGGCGUCGCUGCGUUUUAUUCCAACUACUUUGUGUAUUCCUGUUUUCUAUUGAAAGUUUGGGAAACCGAUUAUCUUGUAUUAUAUCCAUUUUAUA
Long non-coding RNA from Dreissena polymorpha, 537 nucleotides. RefSeq lists it as uncharacterized. The transcript is spliced from 2 exons. The record is from RefSeq and is a predicted model, not a curated record. Lineage: Eukaryota; Metazoa; Mollusca; Bivalvia; Myida; Dreissenidae.